GUUGGAUUGCGCGCGGCUGAGGUGGUGGCGAAAAGCCGGCCAGGCUGCAUCUGUGUCUCGUCCCGUGCUUCGGGCAAACCUGUCUGCUUGUGUCAGUUUGAUUUCCUGCACCUACCCUGUGGAGUGGCGCUGCCCACGAGAGAGAGGCGCGUCUCUGCUGAAACCCAAAAGUUUUAUAUUCAUGGUUUUAUACAAUAUACCGGAAGCGAGGAGAGGGGCGAAAAAAGUGCCUUCAGUUGCACACACUCCUUUUUUAUGACUCAAAAGGACCGCGUUGUCAUUCAUAAUUACAGCUCACGGCGAAGCUGUCCAGGCGCUUAAGGAGAUGUACCUGCAAAAGGGUUUGAGGAGGCCGUCAGAGGAGAAGAGAACGUAAGACGUUUAUUAUUAGGGACGCCAAGGGAAGACAGCGCCUCAGGAAGGAAGGAGUGGUCAACUGCGUUGAGUGCUGCUAAGAGGUCAAGUCUCAUGGCUCAAUGGAAGAUUAUUGAAACUAAACCUUUGGACACUGGGCCAAUCUAUUUCUUUGAUCAGAUGAAACCAAAAAGGAAAAUAUGGGAUAAGAGAACGUGUAAAGACCAUUUUUCCCAUUUGGGAUGCACUGCAGAAGCUAACUAUCGUCAUACAAAGAGUACAAGAUCUAAAGAACUAGAGAAAGCAAGAAUAUCUACAGUAGCUGAAUCUGAAGAGAAAGAUGAAUCCAACUCAUUUGGCAUCUCGCAAACUCCUAGUGUUUCCAAGUUAUCUACUAAUCUUAAAUUUUCCAAACUACACCUGCAGGAGGCUCUAUUUGAAGAAUACAGACUCACUGCUGCUGAAAUACUGUAUGAACUUGGGGAGACAUUGCAGAAAUAUGCUGAGUAUAACAUAACCUUCCCUGUGGGAAUCUUGUGAAUUACAGUUGGCACGAUCUUACUUCAGGCACUUAUACCUGUACAACCAAAAAAUUCAACACUGAAGAAACACAAUGUCUUGCAAGAUGAUCCCUGUACCAUGACCAUAGUUGACCUAAAGGGAUACAAAAUCAACAGCUGUUCAAGAGAAAAAUGUCAUAAGGAAAAUCACCUGGUUAAAGGAAAAGACCACCAUGUUGCAAGUAAAUCUAUGAAAAAAACAUCUCUUAUUAACCAAAACCAGUGUUCCCAGAUUUCCCAGGAUAGCAGUUCACCUAUUGUCACCCACUUCUCACUGACAUCCAUGAUCUGCUUAGAAAAUGAAAAAUGAAAGAAGCGAUUCAACAAACAACUUAUCCUGAGGGAUUCAACAAACAACUUGUCCUGAGCCACUAUCAUGAUCCUACAGACAAGAAAGAAGUGAACAACAGUCGCCAAAGUUCUCAAUGUUUCUGGCUGGAGCUGCUGAAGAGAAGAAUCAAGUUGCCAAUGGUCAGAGAGGCUGACCCAAGGAUGAAAAAGUUCCAUUAUGCCCUGAUCGAUGGUUCCUCUCUGACAUAAUAUCCUUAUGAAAUGACAAUGGGAAGAAGGAUGGAGGGUGCCAGGCAUGAUGGAAGGGACUGACAGAUGGGG
This is a non-coding RNA of Vicugna pacos (alpaca), 1526 nucleotides long. The record is from RefSeq and is a predicted model, not a curated record. NCBI's taxonomy places the organism in Eukaryota, Metazoa, Chordata, Mammalia, Artiodactyla, Camelidae.